This 235-nucleotide non-coding RNA is filed under the name Orenia sp. RNAcentral's name for it is "T-box sequence". It matches the Rfam family "T-box leader". Rfam says of the family: Uncharged tRNA acts as the effector for transcription antitermination of genes in the T-box leader family. T-boxes are found upstream of many aminoacyl-tRNA synthetase genes and some amino acid biosynthetic genes usually in Gram-positive bacteria. Lineage: Bacteria; Bacillati; Bacillota; Clostridia; Halanaerobiales; Halobacteroidaceae. The record is from RNAcentral.
UUAAAAGCUAUGAAGGAGUUAAGUAAGUUGAUGGUAGCCUUUACAGAGAGGAGAUGUCACCGGCUGUAAGCAUCUCUAAAGGUCAUUAAGUGAAAUUUCGCUCUGGAGCUGUAUAGCUGAAUCUUUUAGUAAGUUAUACCGGCAUUUCUGUCGUUAUUGAAACUAGUGGGACUAUAAUUAUAGUCCAAUUAGGGUGGUACCACGAAAUUCAAGCCUGCCUUGUUUCGUCCUAAAU